ACGACCUUACUUGAACAGGAUCUGUUCUAUAGGUUGUACAACUGUGUCCUUGAGUUCUAAGGAGACAAGAACCAAAGUCUGGUGGAUGAAUUGCUACCUUGUGACUAGAGCGUGAUUAGUAACCAAUGGGCCUCGGUCCGGUGGUUGUAGGGGAUCGUUCUCAGCAAGCUUCCAACCUGCUGGGAUGGUUGCAAGGUGGUCUGACAGACU
Small nucleolar RNA from Benincasa hispida (wax gourd), 210 nucleotides. RefSeq annotates it as small nucleolar RNA U3. The record is from RefSeq and is a predicted model, not a curated record. Lineage: Eukaryota; Viridiplantae; Streptophyta; Magnoliopsida; Cucurbitales; Cucurbitaceae.